RNAcentral lists this microRNA precursor (58 nucleotides) under Octopus vulgaris (common octopus). RNAcentral's name for it is "Ovu-Mir-12515_pre stem-loop". The record is from RNAcentral. Lineage: Eukaryota; Metazoa; Mollusca; Cephalopoda; Octopoda; Octopodidae. RNAcentral also lists the same sequence under 1 other name.
UAGAUUCGAGUCCGGGUCGGAGAUGUUAUCACAGUUCUGACAGGACAUCGAACCUGCA